This 465-nucleotide ribosomal RNA is filed under the name uncultured bacterium. RNAcentral's name for it is "partial 16S ribosomal RNA". It matches the Rfam family "Bacterial small subunit ribosomal RNA", at positions 28 to 507 of the family's 1533-position model. The record is from RNAcentral.
GAAGAAAGCUGGCGGCGUGCUUAACACAUGCAAGUCGAACGGAAAGGCCCUGCUUGCAGGGUACUCGAGUGGCGAACGGGUGAGUAACACGUGGGUGAUCUGCCCUGCACUUCGGGAUAAGCCUGGGAAACUGGGUCUAAUACCGGAUAGGAGCCAUUUUUAUUGUUAUGGUUGGAAAGUUUUUUCGGUGUAGGAUGAGCUCGCGGCCUAUCAGCUUGUUGGUGGGGUAAUGGCCUACCAAGGCGGCGACGGGUAGCCGGCCUGAGAGGGUGGACGGCCACAUUGGGACUGAGAUACGGCCCAGACUCCUACGGGAGGCAGCAGUGGGGAAUAUUGCACAAUGGGCGCAAGCCUGAUGCAGCGACGCCGCGUGGGGGAUGACGGCCUUCGGGUUGUAAACUCCUUUCGCUAGGGACGAAGCUUUUUGUGACGGUACCUAGAUAAGAAGCACCGGCUAACUACGUG